GACGAACGCUGGCGGCGUGCUUAACACAUGCAAGUCGAACGGAAAGGCCCUGCUUUUGUGGGGUGCUCGAGUGGCGAACGGGUGAGUAACACGUGAGUAACCUGCCCUUGACUUUGGGAUAACUUCAGGAAACUGGGGCUAAUACCGGAUAGGAGCUCCUGCUGCAUGGUGGGGGUUGGAAAGUUUCGGCGGUUGGGGAUGGACUCGCGGCUUAUCAGCUUGUUGGUGGGGUAGUGGCUUACCAAGGCUUUGACGGGUAGCCGGCCUGGGAGGGUGACCGGCAACGUGGGGAUGAGGUUCGGCCCCGGACCCCGCGGGGGGCAGGAGGGGGGGAAUAUGGCACAGGGGGGGGAGGCCGUAGGCAGCACCCCGGCGUGGGGAAGGCCGCCUUUCGGUUGGUAACCCGCUUCCGCCUGUGACGAAGGGGGGGUGACGGUAGGGGGAAAAGAAGCCCCGGCAAACUACGUG
This 468-nucleotide ribosomal RNA is filed under the name uncultured bacterium. RNAcentral's name for it is "partial 16S ribosomal RNA". It matches the Rfam family "Bacterial small subunit ribosomal RNA", at positions 28 to 507 of the family's 1533-position model. The record is from RNAcentral.